GGUUACUGCUAUCGGUGUUCGCCUAAGCCAUGCGAGUCAUAUGUUCGUAAGAACAUGGCGUACUGCUCAGUAACACGUGGAUAACCUGCCCUUGGGUCCGGCAUAACCCCGGGAAACUGGGGAUAAUUCCGGAUAACGCACAUAUGCUGGAAUGCUUUAUGCGUAAAAUGGAUUCGUCUGCCCAAGGAUGGGUCUGCGGCCUAUCAGGUAGUAGUGGGUGUAAUGUACCUACUAGCCUACGACGGGUACGGGUUGUGAGAGCAAGAGCCCGGAGAUGGAUUCUGAGACAUGAAUCCAGGCCCUACGGGGCGCAGCAGGCGCGAAAACUUUACAAUGCGGGAAACCGUGAUAAGGGGACACCGAGUGCCAGCAUCCUAUGCUGGCUGUCCGGGUGUGUAAAAUACACCUGUAGCAAGGGCCGGGCAAGACCGGUGCCAGCCGCCGCGGUAACACCGGCGGCCCGAGUGGUGAUCGUGAUUAUUGGGUCUAAAGGGUCCGUAGCCGGUUUGGUCAGUCCUCCGGGAAAUCUGACAGCUUAACUGUUAGGCUUUCGGAGGAUACUGCCAGACUUGGAACCGGGAGAGGUAAGAGGUACUACAGGGGUAGGAGUGAAAUCUUGUAAUCCCUGUGGGACCACCUGUGGCGAAGGCGUCUUACCAGAACGGGUUCGACGGUGAGGGACGAAAGCUGGGGGCACGAACCGGAUUAGAUACCCGGGUAGUCCCAGCCGUAAACGAUGCUCGCUAGGUGUCAGGCAUGGCGCGACCGUGUCUGGUGCCGCAGGGAAGCCGUGAAGCGAGCCACCUGGGAAGUACGGCCGCAAGGCUGAAACUUUA
RNAcentral lists this ribosomal RNA (836 nucleotides) under uncultured archaeon. Its description in RNAcentral is "bacterial SSU rRNA". It matches the Rfam family "Archaeal small subunit ribosomal RNA", at positions 21 to 859 of the family's 1478-position model. The record is from RNAcentral.